Molecule: RNA transcript, 2551 nt
Organism: Bombus pyrosoma
Lineage: Eukaryota; Metazoa; Arthropoda; Insecta; Hymenoptera; Apidae
Exons: 6
Source: RefSeq, a predicted model, not a curated record
CUUUCCAAAAUUUGUAUUCCUAGAUUUUUCUUAACAUCUAGAUAUCCAAGCACUCUUGGAAAGAUUCUAUAUUCCCAUUUUUUUUUCAGCUCCUCUAUUGUUCAAAAAUUCUUUCAUCCGGAGAACAAUCGAUCAUAGUCAAGCUUCUAAAAAUCUGUCAACGAUUUCUUCAGCAUACCCCCGUAUCGCAAUAUCGAUCGAUCGAUCGGGAUGCUACAACAGCAAGGGACCGGCCCUCGAGUGGUACGAAAAGAGGUCAGGAGGAACAAAAGCACCAGAAAGGCGACGGCAAACAAAACCUUGACUAGCUAAGAAAAAACAAGAAAGAAGAAAGGAAAAACGAAAAAAAGAAGGAAAGAACAUAAAAAAUGGGCACAAGGUACGAUAACGUGACCACAAUGAUUGUAAACAAUUUAAGUGUAUCAGUCGAAAUUGUUCAAGGUAGUCGACUCGUUAGAUAAGGAAACUCGAAUAAAGCACUUGAACGUAUGUACAUUAUACAUAUGCGUUGUUAGCAACGCAACACGAGCAAGUGAAGGACUAUCGAACUUUAGCAAGUUGAAUUUUACAUAUCCUCCAAUAUGAAUUUUAAAAUCCAAUGCGAGAUAUAUCGUCGUCGUCGUAUUACGAAACUCAGGAUUUGCAAUUGAUCACUGUCAUGGACAAGGAGAAAAACACGAAGAAAGGCGUGAUGGAACAAGAGGAAUCGCGUCACGAACCGAACAUCGCCACGAAACGUUUCAUACUGCGGGUUCUCUUAUCAUCGUCUGCCCGUCGUACCUGACAACGUAUACAGGUAUAUACAUUCAUACAAAAGCAAAUUGAACGCGCGUGAUCGUGUAUCUAGUAAGAAAGAAUGGAGAACAAUGGACCAGAUGUGAUUGUCGUCGAGUUAUGAUGGUUAUUUUACUGUUAUAGCAGAGAAACUUUUUAAUCAUGCUUGUAAUUGGAUGUGUUGGUUGAUAUCGACUGCGUUGUAAUUAACGUUCUGAAAGUGGAAUUUUUGUUUUAAAUGACAAUCCAGUCGAUCGCUCGUUUGUUUUUAAAAAAACAAUAAUUGAAAACAUGUAUUUAUACUUUCUAUCUUUACUUUAGCCUUUAUUUCCGCAAAUGAAUAACUUGCUCUUACAGAACUUUUAAACUGUAUGACAUUACAGAGGGUCAAGCCAAGACCUUGCUAUAAUAUGGAAAUCGUUACAGAUGUUACAGUUGUUAUACAUAUGCAGAGAGUUAUAAACGUAUUAACCUUCAAUCGAUCACAAUUUCGCUUAGAGAAGCCUUCUAUUUCAUUAAUUGUAUAUUUUCGUUGCAUAAAAUAUAUGAUAUUAAAUAAAAAUACAUGUAAGAGAAAAUAUGUCGAAUUAGAAAGCUAUUAGUGUCAUCAAUGAUCCAAAGAUGAUAGAAAGUUACUAAAAUACAACACUACAAUAAUAAGCAAGUGAGAAAUAAACUUUAUAAAAUAUAAUUAUAUGAAUACGUGUUUGUAAGUAAAAAAAAAACUUCAAGGAAAUAAAUAAAAAUAAUAAUACGUAUUACGUAUCCUAGUAAUCUACUUCAUAAAUAUUUCAUACAAAAUAGGUUGGACUUGGUGGAAAAAAAUAUCCUAACGAUUCUAUUUACAUAAAAAACUGGUAAUAAAUUAAACUUAAUUACCUACACAACCUAUUAACUGGUAAACUUGGAUGGAAAAAUGGAAAAUGAAUUUUCCAUGAAGACAUGAAGUUGAAAAAAUAUUCUUAUUUUAUAUCUGUUGGAAGUUUAGAUAAUAACGAUUGGUAUCCAACUCUAAUUAACUGUUUCUCCACUGUGCACCUUAUCUACAAAUUGGACAAUAAAACAAGGAAACGAAAGACAAAUGAUUCGGUACAUGUUUGGAAUGUUUCUGAACAGAAAGUGGCGCUUCUGAGAUGAAGAUAAGGGAGAACUAAGUAUUCGAUAAACAUUUGUUCGGAUCUCUAUAAUUCCAUGUGAUUUAAAAGUUUCAUACUUUUGCAUCUAUAUUCUACUAUUUUCUACGUUUUUAUCAUUAUAUCAUUGAAUCUCAAGUGGGCAAUUUAUUUGUAGCACUUGUAAAUUGCUAUGUAUUUUCUUUGUGGAUAUAAAAGAUAUAAUCAACAGUAUCUUUUUUCUUGCAGUAAGCAAGGAGACAUCCGGAUACAGAGGAAUGCAAAAAAAAUGGAAGAUAGAGAAACAAUGAACGGGGCGAAAAAAGAGAAAAUAUAAAAAUAUAGAACUUUGAUACUGCAAGAGUGAAAGACCUCGGGUAAAGAAUGGAAUUUCAAAAGAAAUCAUGAAAAAAAGACAAAAAACGAAAUAUUAUAAUUUUUAAUCAAAUAAGAAGUAAAAAAAAUCAAAAAAGAUAUACUUCACAAGAAUAUGUAACCUUGAACAAAUGAAAGCUCCAUAAAAGGAACAAGGCUUCGAUAGAACGAUAAUUAAUGUGUAAUAAAACUCUUAUAUUUAAAGUAUCUUACUAAUCGUGGUACAAUUGUAAAAGACUUUGUAAGAUUAGUCCUUUCUCCAAGGAGAAAUUAUAGAAUUUUUAAAAGCA